UACAGAGGUCCCAAGCGUUGUUCGGAUUCACUGGGCGUAAAGGGUGCGUAGGCGGUCGGGUAAGUCUGAUGUGAAAUCUCACAGCUUAACUGUGAAACUGCAUUGGAUACUAUUCGGCUUGAGAGUUGGAGGGGGGACUGGAAUUCUUGGUGUAGCAGUGAAAUGCGUAGAUAUCAAGAGGAACACCAGUGGCGAAGGCGAGUCCCUGGACAACUUCUGACGCUGAGGCACGAAAGCGAGGGGAGCAAACAGG
This 253-nucleotide ribosomal RNA is filed under the name uncultured bacterium. RNAcentral describes it as "partial 16S ribosomal RNA". It matches the Rfam family "Bacterial small subunit ribosomal RNA", at positions 524 to 776 of the family's 1533-position model. The record is from RNAcentral.